RNAcentral lists this unclassified non-coding RNA (3226 nucleotides) under Hevea brasiliensis (rubber tree). Lineage: Eukaryota; Viridiplantae; Streptophyta; Magnoliopsida; Malpighiales; Euphorbiaceae. The record is from RNAcentral.
GUUAGUAGAUUAGCUUCUUGUUUUUCUUCUUUCUUUUCUUUUUCUUUUUGAUCAUAUUGUAUAUACAUUCUUCUGUUUGGAUUUUGUGCUCUUCUGGAACGUUUUUGUAAAAGAAUAUAUGCUAAAGUUGCUAUACCAUUAAUUUUCUUUGAAAUAGGAGACAAUUAUGGUAGGAUUCUGGAUUCUGGACAUUGCUUCCAUAAUGUUGGAAGUGAAUUCCUGAUCUGCAUUUUAUGUAUAAUACAUUGUUGCCUGAAUUGCCGAUUUGGUGAAAUAGGAAGAAGUUGGGAAAUAAACAUGAUUAGCUUUGUAGGAAAUGCAGGUGGUCAAAUGGGAGAUGGCCAUAAAGUUUUAGACAGGAUUGAUAUUGUUAAGCUAACAAAUGGAUUAAUUUUGAGCGCUGUUUGCUUUUGACAAGCAUAUGAUUAUAUUUCAGUUUAUUGGUUUAUGGGUUUGUAUUGAUUUCUUGGUUGGUCCAAAGAUUUUUUGUCCUUUCCUUAAAUAGACAACGUUGGAUGGGCUUCAAGUGCAUUGAUAGUUAAGUUUACAUCCUUUUUAUUGGAUUUUUUUUAAUUUAUUUUUAUUAGAAUUUUCAAUUAGCUUAUAGUGUCUAGUGAAACACCAAAACUUCUGCAUAACUAUAUCAAUUAUCUCAUGGGGUCUAGUGAAACAUUAAAGCUGAAAUAUACAAGUAAUUCUUCAGCAUACUGAACGUCUGAACUUGUUAAACUUCAAAGUUCCUUUUGGUUCUUUCACUUGAAAUUUCAUCCUCAAGGCUUCGAAAGAAUUACUUGUUUCAAGAUUCAUCUAGUCAAUUCAAAAGCAGAAGUAAUAUUUCAUUGUGUCUUUAUUCUGGAGAUUGGUUAUUCAAAAUGCACAAAUGCAUUCUCUGUUUUAAUUAUUGUUUUUCUUAUAAAAUCAACCAUUGGCUUUUUAUCUACCAUUUGUGCCUUCAAUACUUCAUUUCCUCUUAAAAGAUUGUGCCAUAGUGUGGUACUUUGCUCAGGGCCUAUUUCAGAUACCAUGAGGCAUUAUUAGCAGGAGAGCGUGAUGAAUUUAAUGGUUCAAAGAAUUAGACAUAAUUUGUUAACAACCCAGUUGUGGGGCAGAAGGGCGGGGGUGUCAUUCAUGUAAGCAAAGAGAUAAGUGAGAUGGUAAAUUUUAGCAGUAUGUAUACUUUUCUGAGAAUGUGAUGAGCUCAGAAAAAGUUCCCUGUCCCCUCCUCCCCUUUCCCCUUGUUUUUGUCUUGUUCGGUUCAUUAUUGCCAUUUAGUAGAGCUGUUAUAGUUAUAGAUAUUAGAUAGUCACUUUUAGACAAUGGUUAUGUCUAUUACAUAAGUGCAGUGGUAGAUGGUAAAAUAUGAGCUUGAGAGACCAAGAUUUCAGGUGAACACUUUGGGAGUCUUGUCCAAAAAGGGUGUAUUCUUGAAAUCAAUGCCUUGUUGAGUGUGAUUGGGCUGCCUCCUGACUAAUUUGAGAUUUUGGGUAGAAAGCUUAUUGGUUACUUCUAGAGGGGGGGAAGCACAAGAAGAAGAUUUUUCAAAAUAUUAUAUGAUGUUAACAUAAAGACCUUGAUCUGGGCAUCACUAAUUAAAAUAUUUUUGUGAUCAGAAUUUAGCCGAUUCUGGAAAUUGGAAUAACUUGAUAGAGAUUAUAAUCUCUAAGCUUGAGUAAAGGAAGAAGCAGUUGAAACUAAGCAUCUUGAAAUGGCUACAGUUGUUUCCAUUAAUGGAUUUUUCCUAAUUUUUCUAAUGUAUAUUGAACAGAUAAUUUUGCUGCACUUGCUCCUUUUUAUCUACUUGUCAAUUGUGUAUUCAUUCAUUCGUGUUGAGUUCUAUUGCUGGGCUUCUAUGUGUGUGAUCUAAAGCUAGUACAAAUUUGGUAACCUGGUAUUUUUGUUGCAUGAUUACUGAUAAAGGUAGAGGUGGUGAAGUAAAAAAUUUAAGAUGUUACCCAUGUUUAUGUGGGUUAGAGAGAAGCACUGAACUCAUUUAGUAAAUAGGACCUUGUUGUUAAUAAUGGGAAAAAUAAAAUAGGAUAUAUUUUCCCAAUGAGCAGGGUGCCUGAAGCAGGCUAAAUUUCACUGUGCAAACUUUUUUUGUUACCAAAAGUAUGUACUGAGUGAAGAUGCUUUUACUAAGCUCUAUAUUCUGUUUCAAAGUUUAUGAUUUCCAUUUUUUUCCUGUAAUUAAAAAAAAAAUGUGUAUAUGUACUUAUAGAUAUUCUUUUCAUUUAUAUUUAGCUUUUUUUUGUGUUCAAAAUCACCAUAAGAAUAAAGCAUGUUCGUCUGUUGUGAAAUUUCUAACUUCAUUAUUCAAACAGAUGUGUUCUACUCGGAGUGAGUUGUGGUGCAAAUAUUGCAGACUAUGUUGCUCGAAAAGCUGUAGAGGCAGGCAAGCUAUUGGACCCAGUUAAGGUUGUAGCACAGGUUUUGAUGUAUCCAUUCUUCAUUGGGAGUGUCCCCACACAUUCUGAGAUAAAACUGGCAAAUUCCUACUUCUAUGAUAAGCAGAUGUGCAUGCUUGCAUGGAAACUCUUCCUUCCAGAGGAAGAGUUCAGCCUUGACCACCCAGCUGCCAACCCCCUUGUCCCAGGCAGGGGGCCUCCUUUAAAGCACAUGCCCCCAACAUUGACAGUGGUGGCUGAACAUGACUGGAUGAGAGACCGAGCCAUUGCUUACUCUGAGGAGCUUAGGAAGGUGAAUGUCGACGCACCAGUUCUUGAAUACAAGGAUGCUGUUCAUGAAUUUGCAACUCUUGACAUGCUUCUGAAGACCCCACAGGCUCAGGCUUGUGCUGAGGACAUUGCCAUCUGGGUCAAGAAGUACAUUUCACUUCGAGGGCAUGAGUUCUCUUAUUAACGGGAUAGCAUGUCAACAAAAAGCUUGCAGCAAGAGAAUCAUUUGCCUGUGUUACGUUACACAGUGAGAGAGCACUGAGCUGCACAAUUACUUGGGGUUGUAUAAUGACGGGGUUCUAUAAUUAUUUCAUUGGUUGUUUUUUGGGUAAAGUAGCCGCCUGGUUGUUCUCACUUUUUUGGGUUUACAACUUGUCCUGUCAAGUUCCUGUUUUGUAAGAUAUAGAACCUUUUUCUGGGAUUAGGUUUUAGGACUUUGUGAGAUGAAAUUACAUCCUGUUCGAGUUUGUGCCACAUUAGGACAAUCUCGAUGGAAUUUUCCCCCCUCCGUGUAUUAAAAUGUAGUAUUGCUCAUGAAAAGAGUUAAUGGA